This 706-nucleotide small RNA is filed under the name Pan troglodytes (chimpanzee). RNAcentral's name for it is "retained intron". Lineage: Eukaryota; Metazoa; Chordata; Mammalia; Primates; Hominidae. The record is from RNAcentral.
AUUCCUGUAAUGGCUGCUUCCUAGAAGGUCGUGUCACGUGGAACCUCUUAAUCUCAGCAUCCGGAGCUCCAGGAAGGGAAAAUUUCAAGUCAGAUAGAAUUCUAUAUAUACCAUUUCUUUGGUAAGUCUUAUUAAUUCCCCACAACUUCGCAGAGUUAUAUGUUGUGUGACUUUUGCCAAAUUUGUCUGCAUUUCCUGGAUGGGAGAGACCCUAAGAAAAUGUACAAUUUUUACCCACUAGGAUAUUUUAAGUUUCCAAGUUAGUGGCUCGUGCUUUUUUUCUGUUUGUUCUUAAUUAUGAACUCCUGUUCAAUUUUUGUUUGGUUGAUGCACGAGGUGUUGGCAUUAUCGUGGAAAAUUCCUGGGUUUAGAGUGUUAUCAUGAGAUAGGGAGAUGAACCUCAAAUUACUGUCUUUAACGUCCCUCUGUUUUUCCACCUAUAAGAUGAGGAGAUGGAUUGGAAAUGAUUCAUAAAGUAUCCAAAAGAUUGGCUGGCCUGUUAUUUGUCAUGUGUUCAUUUUGUCAUUUGAAAAGGGAGGAAUUUUUAAUGGUUCCUUUUUGUUUCCAUGUUUAAUUUCUAGGAACCUUCAGCCCUCAAGAUUCCAACAUCAUGACCUCAGUUUCAACACAGUUGUCCUUAGUCCUCAUGUCACUGCUUUUGGUGCUGCCUGUUGUGGAAGCAGUAGAAGCCGGUGAUGCAAUCGCC